RNAcentral lists this ribosomal RNA (497 nucleotides) under uncultured bacterium. RNAcentral's name for it is "partial 16S ribosomal RNA". It matches the Rfam family "Bacterial small subunit ribosomal RNA", at positions 28 to 507 of the family's 1533-position model. The record is from RNAcentral.
GAUGAACGCUGGCGGCGUGCCUAAUACAUGCAAGUCGAGCGAACAGACGAGGAGCUUGCUCCUCUGACGUUAGCGGCGGACGGGUGAGUAACACGUGGAUAACCUACCUAUAAGACUGGGAUAACUUCGGGAAACCGGAGCUAAUACCGGAUAAUAUAUUGAACCGCAUGGUUCAAUAGUGAAAGACGGUUUUGCUGUCACUUAUAGAUGGAUCCGCGCCGCAUUAGCUAGUUGGUAAGGUAACGGCUUACCAAGGCAACGAUGCGUAGCAGACCUGAGAGGGAGAUCGGGCACACUGGAACUGAGGCAAGGUCCCGACUCCUACGAGCGGCAGCAGUAGGGAAUCAUCCGCAAUGGGCGGAAGCCUGACGGAGCAACGCCGCGUGAGUGAUGAAGGUCUUCGGAUCGUAAAACUCUGUUAUGAGGGAAGAACGAAUGUGUAAGUAAAUAUGCACGUCUUGACGGUACCUAAUCAGAAAGCCACGGCUAACUACGUG